This 397-nucleotide ribosomal RNA is filed under the name uncultured bacterium. RNAcentral's name for it is "partial 16S ribosomal RNA". It matches the Rfam family "Bacterial small subunit ribosomal RNA", at positions 523 to 918 of the family's 1533-position model. The record is from RNAcentral.
AUACGUAGGGGGCGAGCGUUGUCCGGAAUGACUGGGCGUAAAGGGCGUGUAGGCGGCGGAUUAAGUCUGGAGUGAAAGUCCUGCUUUCAAGGUGGGAAUUGCUUUGGAUACUGGUCGGCUUGAGUGCGGAAGAGGUAAGUGGAAUUCCCAGUGUAGCGGUGAAAUGCGUAGAGAUUGGGAGGAACACCAGUGGCGAAGGCGACUUACUGGGCCGUAACUGACGCUGAGGCGCGAAAGCGUGGGGAGCGAACAGGAUUAGAUACCCUGGUAGUCCACGCGGUAAACGAUGAAUGCUAGGUGUAGGGGGUAUCGACCCCUCCUGUGCCGGAGUAAACACAAUAAGCAUUCCGCCUGGGGAGUACGGCCGCAAGGUUGAAACUCAAAUGAAUUGACGGGG